Olea europaea var. sylvestris is the source of this 124-nucleotide long non-coding RNA. RefSeq lists it as uncharacterized. The record is from RefSeq and is a predicted model, not a curated record. The transcript is spliced from 2 exons. Lineage: Eukaryota; Viridiplantae; Streptophyta; Magnoliopsida; Lamiales; Oleaceae.
GUGAUGACAUGACAUGGCAUCGAGGCAGCCUGUAGGAUUUGAGGCAUAGGCCCUUUUGGUUGGACUUCUGAAGAGUUAAAAAGUUACUUUGAGAAGUAGCGAAGCGGUGGACUCUUUGAAUUUU